GACGGAAGGUGCAAGCGUUGCUCGGAAUCACUGGGCGUAAAGGGUGCGUAGGCGGCCGUGCAAGUCUGGCGUGAAAGCCCCGGGCUCAGCCCGGGAAGUGCGCUCGAAACUGCGCGGCUCGAGUGCCGGAGGGGAGAGUGGAAUUCCUGGUGUAGCGGUGAAAUGCGUAGAUAUCAGGAGGGACACCGGUGGCGAAGGCGGGUCUCUGGGCCGUAACUGACGCUGAGGAGCGAAAGCAUGGAGAGCGAACAGG
Molecule: ribosomal RNA, 253 nt
Filed under: uncultured bacterium
Lineage: Bacteria
Description: partial 16S ribosomal RNA
Rfam family: Bacterial small subunit ribosomal RNA
Source: RNAcentral